Molecule: ribosomal RNA, 424 nt
Filed under: uncultured bacterium
Lineage: Bacteria
Description: bacterial SSU rRNA
Rfam family: Bacterial small subunit ribosomal RNA
Source: RNAcentral
AAUCAACGCUGGCGGCGUGCCUCAGACAUGCAAGUCGAACGCGAAAGUCCCCUUCGGGGGACGAAGUAGAGUGGCGCACGGGUGAGUAACACGUAGGUAAUCUACCUUUGGAUGGGGAAUAACAACCGGAAACGGUUGCUAAUACCGCAUAAUGCAGCGGCACCUAAUGGUGACAGUUGUUAAAGCGGGGGAUCGAAAGACCUCGCGUCUAAAGAGGAGCCUGCGGCGGAUUAGCUAGUUGGUAAGGAAUGGCUUACCAAGGCUACGAUCCGUAACCGGCCUGAGAGGGCGGUCGGUCACACUGACACUGACAUACGGGUCAGACUCCUACGGGAGGGCAGCAGUCGGGAAUUUUGGGCAAUGGGCGAAAGCCUGACCCAGCAACGCCGCGUGAAGGAUGAAAUCCCUCGGGAUGUAAACUUCG